Long non-coding RNA from Astatotilapia calliptera (eastern happy), 2295 nucleotides. Lineage: Eukaryota; Metazoa; Chordata; Actinopteri; Cichliformes; Cichlidae. The record is from Ensembl.
GGGGGAACUUGCACAAUCGGUGGCUGACUAAAUACUUUUUUGCCCCACUGUAGUAACAUUUUAUUUUUUAAGUCUUUCUGUCAAAAUUAUUCAGUUUCACUAUAUAAAUUAUAUUCUUUUAUUGUACAUGAGUUCAUACCAGUAACAGUUCGCAGGAAUCACUGCUCUUCCUACAGUAUUGUUCAGAUUUGAAUGAAACCUAGUUGGGUCUUCAGUCAAACUGUGCUCAAGGUCAAGUUCACAUUUGUCACUGGGGUCAGUAACCUGUAAAUUGUGAUGGAUCUUGAACUGGAUGACCUACUAUGUCAUUGAUAUUCUGGUUAUUUUCUAUAAUGCAAGUUAUGAAUAAUUUCUUUUUUGCAGUUUCAUUUACAACACAGUAAUUUGUGUCUGUCUAUAAACAUGCUAGUUUUCUUCAUUUUUUCUUUAUUUUUUUAUUAAGUUGCUUGCUUAAUGCAUUUGUAUAUUAAAGAUCUUCCUCUGUUAUUAAAAGACUAGGAAUCUUAGAAACAGGACCCUUUUUUGGUUGAAGUUGAAGUAAAAUAUUUCAAAAUUGUUUUAUAUUUCAGCAACUUUUUCAGUUUUUCUUUCUUUGUGUUUUCUCUGGCUGUUUUUGUUUGUAUGUUUCUGAACCUGUGUUUAUGUGACGUGCAUGUGUGUGUUUUUAGGUGGUGGCAGUAACAGUCCAGGGCGUCCCAGAGGACGUGCAACCUCCCGUGGUAACAGCUGUAAGCCCCUCCUCCCUCCACGUGAACUGGUCUGAACCUACUUUUCAAAAUGGAAAAAUACAGCGGUACCACCUGAACCAGACUGGUGUUGGAACUAUAUUCACGCACAUCGAUGGACCCAGAAAUUUCACAGUGACUGGUUUGCAGCCAUACACAGAGUAUAGUUUUGUGCUUGUGGCCUGUACGUCUGUGGGAUGUGGAGCCAGCUUACCAUCCACAGGAUGCACCCUGCAAGCCAAGCCUGCUGGUAUACGCACACGCGUGUGUGCACACACACACACACACACACACACACACACACACACACACACACAAAUCCUCUAGUAUUUCAAAUGUAUUUUUCAAAUGUAUGUCUAAUUUACAACCCAAUGGUUGGAUAUUUUUUGUUGUUUGACACAGAACAAUAUCACAGCUUGUUAUAAUUUUAAUAAAUACUGAAAUGAAGUAUGUCUGACUUUUAGUAUUUUUGUUUUUACAGUGUACCUUGUCUCUUUUUGAUUUCUUCUUUACAUCUAUGCUCUUUUUUCUGCUCUGAUUUCUGCAUCUAAUUAGUUGUCCCCUGUGCUUCCUCACUGUGCAGUAUUUCGUAAACCCUUUAGCUUUUGGCUUUUUCAUUGUAUCAAGUGUGGACACUUUAUAUCGUUGAAGUUUGUUGUUGUUGUUUAUUUGAUUUUUUUUUUUUUUAUUUGAUUCUUGAUUCUUCUUGAAAUGCAUUGCACAUCUCUUCUCUUAGAUUUCCUGCUAUUUCUUUUCUAUUUAAAUAGGAUUUUUUUCUCUUUUCUGCACUUUUUAAGCUAUUGUUUGUUGUACAUUUGUCCAGUCUCCUUAUUUCUUUUAUUUGGAGCUACUAUUUCUUGUUUUUUGGGCUCACAUUUCCUUGCACUUAUGCUUGUGUCUCAUUCUUACGUAGUCUUUCAUCAUCUUAAAUAUACCAAUCUUGGUAGUUGGACUGAAUAUAUGGACAAAAUAUUUAAGCUGAUAAAAAACUAGAUUUUGAACCAUCAGUGUUGCUCAUUUUAAGUCGUGAAAUUAUAAUUUGAUCAUAUAUAUUGUGCAUAGCAUUUCAGUGCUUUACUUGUUAAACAAACAGUGCCCUUAGUUAACGAACAAUAAGCUUUAAUAAACAGCCUGGUUUCUCUACACAAAGUGAUGCUAUUUACUUUUUUGGAACAGAAGUAGGACUGCUGACUAAUUAUAGAUGCAAAUUAAUUAUUUAAGGAGGCUCUCAUUUGUUCUUCUUUUCUUUUUUUAUACUCCAGGUGUGUGGUCGAAGCGCAGACACCUAGUAAUAAACACAUCUGCAGUGGAGCUGUACUGGGAUGAGCCAUCCCAACCUAAUGGACACAUCUCCCAGUACAGGCUGAACAGAGACAGUCAAACUAUUUUUACCGGAGACCACCGUGACCGGAAUUUUACGGACACUGGACUCUUGCCAAAUCGCAGGUAAAGAGGAUGAACUCGCGCUCAUUUAUACAUGCAGGAAUAUAAAAACGUGUGUCCAUGUAGACGUCACACAUACAAAAACACUUGACAUGCAGCUUCACAAUUAAUCAUCACCGCGUUUGUG